Unclassified non-coding RNA from Callithrix jacchus (white-tufted-ear marmoset), 146 nucleotides. It matches the Rfam family "Metazoan signal recognition particle RNA". Rfam says of the family: The signal recognition particle (SRP) is a universally conserved ribonucleoprotein. It is involved in the co-translational targeting of proteins to membranes. NCBI's taxonomy places the organism in Eukaryota, Metazoa, Chordata, Mammalia, Primates, Cebidae. The record is from Ensembl.
GCUGGGUGUGGUGGUGUAGGCCUGUAGUCCCAGCUACUUGGGAGGCUGAUGCAGAAGGAUUGCUUGAGCCUAGGAGUUCAAGGCUUCAGUGAGCUAUGAUUGCCACUGCGUUCUAGCCUGCGCAACAGAGUGAGAUCCUGUCUCUU